Molecule: RNA transcript, 1397 nt
Organism: Homo sapiens (human)
Lineage: Eukaryota; Metazoa; Chordata; Mammalia; Primates; Hominidae
Gene: AKR1C6P
Gene name: aldo-keto reductase family 1 member C6, pseudogene
Exons: 11
Source: RefSeq, marked validated
AAUGGUUUCUCCCUUUACACCCGCUGUGAAGUUCAGUGUUUUUCUAUUCAUGAUUGGACAUGUCCUAGACAUCACUUAGAGGAUUUUGUUGUUGUUGUUUAUUAAACAAGGUCUUCUGUCACACAAGAUGGCACGUUGGACAUUCCUUAUUUCCCUUAAUAAAGGGAAAAAAACCCUCUGCUUUGCAGGAAAAGUAAAAGAAGAUGAGUUUUAACAGACUCCUUUCUGUAAAACUGAAUGAUGGAAAGUUCAUGCCUAUUCUGGGGUUUGGCACCUCUGUUGCUAGGAAGGUUGCUAUGAGUAAUGUAGAAGAAGCCGUCCAGGUAGCAAUUGAUGUAGGCUACCGCCAUAUUGACUCAGCUUAUACACACCUGAAUGAAGAAGGCAUCGGGCAGGCCAUCCGAAAGAAGAUUGCCAACGGCACUGUGAAGAGAAAAGAUAUAUUCUAUACCACAAAGGUGUGGGGCACCUUUUCCCGCCCAGAAUUGGUCCAAAGAGGCCUUGAAAUGUCACUGAAGAAACUUCAGCUGAGCUACAUGGAUCUUUACCUUUUUCAUUUCCCAGUACCUUUGCAGCCUGGGAGGAGCUUUUGCUGACGGAUGCACAGGGAAAGAUCAUGUUUGACACAGUGGGUCUCUGCAGCACAUGGGAGAGUUUUACUCCUGUUGCCAAGGCUGGAGUACAGUGGCACGAUCUCGGCUCACUGCAACCUCCGCCUCCCAGGUUCAAGCAUGUACCUCUGCCUCCCACAUGGCUGGGAAUACAGGUGGAAUAUCACCCUUACCUCAACCAAAGCAAACUCCUGGAGUACUGUAAGUCCAAGGACAUUGUCAUGACUGCAUAUUCUGCCUUGGGGUCUGACUCAGACAAAGACUGGGUGAAAAAAGGAAACCCAGUUCUCCAGGAGGAUCCAAUACUCAAUGCCAUUGCUGAAAAGCCCAGGCGAACUCCAGCCCAGGUUGCCUUGUGCUACCAGCUGCAGCGCGGGGUGGUGGUCCUGGUGAAGAGCUUCAAUGAGAAGAGAAUCAAAGAAAACUUCCAGGUUUUUGACUUCUAGCUGACACCAGAGGACAUGAAAACCACAGAUGGCUUGAACAAGAAUAUAUGCCAUUUGUAAAUGUCUAUCUUUUCUCAUCACCCAGAUUAUCCAUUUCUUGAUGAAUAUAAAGAAAAGAGUCUGUGGUUGUUCCAGAGUUUAUUGAUUUGGGUUGAGAUGAAUAGAGAAUAUCUCAUGGAUGGGAAGUUUUCUAGUUUAUUCCAGAUUGAUUAGCCUGCUCAGUCACAAGUUGGCCUAAGACCCCGGAUCAGAAAAUAAAAGUAUCUAAACCUAGUUUUCUCUUGAUUCCCGCCCCCACCCCACCCCCACAACUGCCAAAAUAAAGAUGUAUUUGAAAUAA